Molecule: ribosomal RNA, 472 nt
Filed under: uncultured bacterium
Lineage: Bacteria
Description: bacterial SSU rRNA
Rfam family: Bacterial small subunit ribosomal RNA
Source: RNAcentral
UGGGGAAUUUUGGACAAUGGGCGCAAGCCUGAUCCAGCCAUGCCGCGUGCGGGAAGAAGGCCUUCGGGUUGUAAACCGCUUUUGUCAGGGAAGAAACGCUCUGGGCUAAUACCCUGGGGUAAUGACGGUACCUGAAGAAUAAGCACCGGCUAACUACGUGCCAGCAGCCGCGGUAAUACGUAGGGUGCAAGCGUUAAUCGGAAUUACUGGGCGUAAAGCGUGCGCAGGCGGUUAUGCAAGACAGAUGUGAAAUCCCCGGGCUCAACCUGGGAACUGCAUUUGUGACUGUAUAGCUAGAGUACGGUAGAGGGGGAUGGAAUUCCGCGUGUAGCAGUGAAAUGCGUAGAUAUGCGGAGGAACACCGAUGGCGAAGGCAAUCCCCUGGACCUGUACUGACGCUCAAACACGAAAGCGUGGGUAGCGAACCGGAUUAGAUACCCCCGUAGUCCCUGAGCGGGCUGGCAAGGCGCAU